This 92-nucleotide transfer RNA is filed under the name Anaeromyxobacter sp. PSR-1. RNAcentral's name for it is "tRNA-Ser". The record is from RNAcentral. Lineage: Bacteria; Pseudomonadati; Myxococcota; Myxococcia; Myxococcales; Anaeromyxobacteraceae.
GCUGCCGCUGGCGCAGGCGGCCGAGGCGCACCGGGCGCUGGAGGCGCGCGCCACCACCGGCUCGCUCGUGCUCGAGCCGUAGCCGGCGGUGC